AUACGGAGGGUGCAAGCGUUAUUCGGAAUCACGGGGCGUAAAGGACGCGUAGGCGGGUUGGCAAGUCAGAUGUGAAAUCCUACAGCUUAACUGUAGAACUGCAUUUGAAACUGCUAACCUAGAGUAUGGGAGGGGGAGAUGGAAUUAGUGGUGUAGGGGUAAAAUCCGUAGAUAUCACUAGGAAUACCGAAAGCGAAGGCGAUCUCCUGGAACAUAACUGACGCUAAGGCGUGAAAGCGUGGGGAGCAAACAGGAUUAGAAACCCCAGUAGUCC
This 274-nucleotide ribosomal RNA is filed under the name uncultured bacterium. RNAcentral's name for it is "partial 16S ribosomal RNA". It matches the Rfam family "Bacterial small subunit ribosomal RNA", at positions 523 to 796 of the family's 1533-position model. The record is from RNAcentral.